This 76-nucleotide transfer RNA is filed under the name Nippostrongylus brasiliensis. It matches the Rfam family "tRNA". From Rfam's summary of the family: Transfer RNA (tRNA) molecules are approximately 80 nucleotides in length. Their secondary structure includes four short double-helical elements and three loops (D, anti-codon, and T loops). Further hydrogen bonds mediate the characteristic L-shaped molecular structure. tRNAs have two regions of fundamental functional importance: the anti-codon, which is responsible for specific mRNA codon recognition, and the 3' end, to which the tRNAs corresponding amino acid is attached (by aminoacyl-tRNA synthetases). tRNAs cope with the degeneracy of the genetic code in two manners: having more than one tRNA (with a specific anti-codon) for a particular amino acid; and 'wobble' base-pairing, i.e. permitting non-standard base-pairing at the 3rd anti-codon position. Lineage: Eukaryota; Metazoa; Nematoda; Chromadorea; Rhabditida; Heligmosomidae. The record is from Rfam by way of RNAcentral.
GCCUCAGUGGUGUAGUGGUCUAACACAUAAUGCCAUGGGUAGGCACGAGACGAAGGUUCGAAUCCCGCCUGAGCCA